GACAGAGGGUGCUAGCGUUGUUCGGAAUUACUGGGCGUAAAGGGCGCGUAGGCGGUCCGCUAAGUUCGGCGUGAAAUCCCCUGGCUCAACUGGGGAACUGCGCUGGAUACUGGUGGACUCGAGUACCGGAGAGGAGAGUGGAAUUCCUGGUGUAGCGGUGAAAUGCGUAGAUAUCAGGAGGAACACCCGUGGCGAAGGCGGCUGACUGGAUCGCAACUGACACUGAGGAACGAAAGCUAGGGGAGCAAACAGG
Molecule: ribosomal RNA, 253 nt
Filed under: uncultured prokaryote
Description: partial 16S ribosomal RNA
Rfam family: Bacterial small subunit ribosomal RNA
Source: RNAcentral